Molecule: long non-coding RNA, 823 nt
Filed under: Sinocyclocheilus grahami
Lineage: Eukaryota; Metazoa; Chordata; Actinopteri; Cypriniformes; Cyprinidae
Description: lncRNA (ENSSGRG00000009235.1)
Source: RNAcentral
UAUAAAACUACUGCACUAAGAGAGAGCUCCACAGAGCCGACAGACUCUUAACAAUCUAACCCCAACACACUCUUGCAGCUAUGUCCAUGGUGCUGUGGGUCUAUCUGCUGUGUCUGCAGGGAUGUCUUCUCACAUAUGCUCUGGACUGCACGGGCAGAAGGGUGGAAUGUGCCGACACACAGGUUACAGAGGUAAAGGUAAAAGAUGAGCCCUUGUCUUCUCAGGUGAGGGCUCGAAGACAAGCUCCAAUCACUCAGCGGCCUGGAUCUUACUCAGUCAAAGGAUCUCCUAACACACUCAUCCAGACCGACAGGUCGAGGCGAAAUUUGAACUCUAGUAAAAAAAAGCCCCACAGAUCUCGUAUCGGUUCUUACUCAUUACUGUCCCAUUACCACGCAACCAACCAAUUACAGGUUGUAAGUGUUCAUAGACAGUUUGAGGGUGCAUUCCAUCCCAAAGUGGCUGCAUUAAAGUCUGUAAAGAAGAGAUCCAGAAGAAAUUCACCAAAGAAAGAAGAAUGCAAGGACUAACACAUGCUCCUGGGAGGUUCUUUGAAGCACUUACUGAAGCUGUACUUCCUGUUAAUGUUCUAGCUCAUCUGAGGCAAUGUACUUGUAAGAGUGCUGUGAGAUCACAGAUUAUGUGCAGAUAAUGUGAUCACAAUUAAUGACAAUAACUGGACAGUCCCACAUUAAAAUUUCUCAAAUACACAAAAAUGACUUCAAUAUAAACAUAUAUACAGCAUACUAAGCUUUAAAACCUACAUAAUACCCAUUUAGAAGAAAGUUUAUAGUUUAAUUAUCUUUUGCUAAUACAAUUCUGA